RNAcentral lists this ribosomal RNA (501 nucleotides) under uncultured Glomus. RNAcentral's name for it is "SSU rRNA". It matches the Rfam family "Eukaryotic small subunit ribosomal RNA", at positions 569 to 1074 of the family's 1831-position model. Lineage: Eukaryota; Fungi; Glomeromycota; Glomeromycetes; Glomerales; Glomeraceae. The record is from RNAcentral.
AGCAGCCGCGGUAAUUCCAGCUCCAAUAGCGUAUAUUAAAGUUGUUGCAGUUAAAAAGCUCGUAGUUGAAUUUCGGGAUCAAGGAAUCGGUCAUGCCUCGGUAUGUACUGGUUUUAUUGGUUCUCACCUUCUAAAGAACCAUGAUGUCAUUCAUUUGAUGUUAUGGGGAAUUAGGACUGUUACCUUGAAAAAUUAGAGUGUUUAAAGCAGGCUUACGCUUGAAUACAUUAGCAUGGAAUAAUGAAAUAGGACAUCAGAUUCUAUUUUGUUGGUUUCUAGGAUCGAUGUAAUGAUUAAUAGGGAUAGUUGGGGGCAUUAGUAUUCAAUUGUCAGAGGUGAAAUUCUUGGAUUUAUUGAAGACUAACUACUGCGAAAGCAUUUGCCAAGGAUGUUUUCAUUAAUCAAGAACGAAAGUUAGGGGAUCGAAGACGAUCAGAUACCGUCGUAGUCUUAACCGUAAACUAUGCCGACUAGGGAUCGGAUGAUGUUUAUUUUUAGUGA